CCUAAACGAACGAACAACCCAUAUUAAGAAAGCACAGACACAAAUAAGCAUAUCUUCAAAGUACACUAAAUUAAACCUUGUCUGGAUGGUAUCUGAGAGCAGCUUUCCUGUAUGCCUUCUUAAUUUCAGCUGAAGAUGCAGAUGGAUCAACUCCCCUGCCAUCAAAAAGAAUAAGGUACAUGUCCAAUGGAAUUUCCUUUCUUGACUCUUCUUCAACUUCUGCAAGCCGGAGACGAGCUUGUCUCAAAUCAUUUGCAUUGCUCGGUGCCCAGUAUAAACACAACAAAGAGAAAGCUUACCUUGAAAAAUUCUUCAUCAAGGGCUAUGGCAAGACUACAAUCAGCAAUAGCAUCAAUAACUUGGCCCUGAGCUUUGUAUGCAGCAGCCCGAC
This is a non-coding RNA of Cucurbita pepo subsp. pepo (vegetable marrow), 391 nucleotides long. NCBI's taxonomy places the organism in Eukaryota, Viridiplantae, Streptophyta, Magnoliopsida, Cucurbitales, Cucurbitaceae. The record is from RefSeq and is a predicted model, not a curated record.